CCAGGAAGAAGACAGUGGGUUCUGCCAUUUUCUUGUGCUCCACUUGGGCGUGAUUUGUAGCAUUUUCUGCUUUGUGCAAUUUCUUUGCAGGAGUCUGUGUGAGGCCUAUGUCCAGCCACGCGUCCAGGGUUAGCAAAGGCAAGCCCACUUCACUAAGCUGAUCCUUAACCUCUGCAUGCCGCUCUAUUCCAAGGGCUUCCAGGCUAGCUGACAGGACUCCAGUGUGAAACUCCUCUUCCACCGUGCCUGCCAGGUGACAGGAAUCCUUAAAAGAGGAACACGGUCAGGUUGGAGCCAAGCGCACCGAAGAUGGAGAGAAGAACCAGGAGCCGAGGAAGCCGGUGGAGUCCAGUGGGAAGACAAGCACACAGCCUUCCUCCCCUCGGAGCCUCCCGGAGCUGGCGCUGCCCACACCUUGGUUUUCAACUCAGGGAACACACUCUGGACCCUUGACCUCCAAGAUGGUAGAGAAAAAGUUUGUGUUGUUUUAAACAACAAAGGUUGUGGUCACUAGUUAUGGUGAGAGUAAGAGCCCGCCGUAUGUCCAGCCAGGGGGAAAGGUGCUGCCAUGCUGCUCCUGAGAGGCGAGGUCGAGAGUCAUGAACAGUGCUCCGACACACUGAGCAUCGUCACUGGAGGAGCAACGUGUCUCUGGAUUUCUUGUCACGUGAGGAAAAAUAAACCCUAUAUGUUUAUGUUACUGUUAAUUACAGCCAAGAACUUUUCUCACUAAAACCCAGAAGCAACUAAGCAGGAUAGUUCGGAAUCUGCCCGAAGCGGACCAUCUCACCGGAAUCGAUGAGAAAACAAUGUACUGCGUCAACUCCAGUCUCGUGGAUCGCUCAUUCAUAAACACGUCCUGACGGCCUUCCACACGCUGGUCACUGACAGCGAGCACACCCUGCCCUGCCCUCUGAGAGCUUCCCCAGCAGGUGGAAAACGCUACCAUAACCAGAGCACAGAGAAUUCUUGUCAAACAUACGAUUGAUCCCAAACCAAAGAUGUUGUGAAGCACAUCAGUAAUUUUCUGGGGGCUGGAGAUGUAGCUCAGUGGUAGAGUGCUUGCCUAGGAUGUGCGAGGCACUGGGUUCGAGCCUCAGAACCACAUGAAAAUAAUGUAUUGUGUCAUCUACAAUGAAAAAUAUUUUUUUUUAAAUAAUUUUCUGCACCAGCAGCCAGUUCCCAGCACAAGCUGGGCAGUGGGCUGGCUGGCUGGCUCUGAGAGUCCUUUACCUUUUUAAAUUUGCUUUUUCAUUUGCUAACUGAGGAGUUAAUCCUGAUGACCACUAAAUUCUCUUCCAGUUCGUCUUUCCUAUCCUGUGAUCAUUGCCAUGUGAUAAGGAAAUAUUAAUAACAUUUUGGAAACACUUUGGAAGCAUUGGGGUAAAAGCAGUUAUACGUGACAAAUCAAGAUUGGCAGAUGAGAGGUACCACACUAGCAGCAGAGUUAACAAAGUACCUUCCUUCCUGGUUGGGAGAACAUUGCAGGAACUGAUGCAGAAUAGAAUUGGCAAUCGUUUAAUAAGCUCCAACUGUGUACACAGCAUCUUUCUACAGCUGGAAAUCCAGAGUGACAGACAGCACCCCUAGCCUACUCUCCAGGAGCCCUGGUGUGUGUGUACUGGGUUGUUCUUCCGCUGGGACAUGCCACUGUGACCUUACGAUACGAUACGUUAUUGCCAGUGACAGCCCUGAAGGCUCCUGCAGGAGUCCUGGUGAAAGCCAUCCGGCAGGAAGGCAUGUGAGCAGGAGGCCAAGAGCUGAAGGUGUGAAAGGCACGCAGAGCCGUUUGGGGCAGUGGCCUAGAGAUGUCAGGGCUGCAGCCAAGCUGGAGCCAGACACAGCUCACCCAGACACCUGCCCACAGGUGUGUCCCAGAGCCAUGGCGGCACGAGGGUGGCUGGGUGCAGGGAACACAGGUUGUGUAAUGGGGUACUCUGGCUCUCCAUACUGCUCAGGUGGACUCUCCGAGGCUCACUUCCUCAGCUGUGAGAGGGUAAUGGGGACGUUCUACUUGCAGACUGUCUGGAGGAGAUGCCGCAGUGUUGCCUGGUGUGGGCCUGCAGCUGGCCGAGAGCCACUGGCCUCCAUGCAAGAUUCACCUGGUGGCCAGUGCCACGGUGACCCUCCUCCCCGUGGGCUUUCCACACCGACGCAGCCUCCGCCUUCAGCCAUGCCAGGGGCCAGAACAGCGGGAGUUGGAACCAGGAGCCCUUGGUCUGAGGCCCAACUCCGGCAGUACCCACGAGCCUUCCCCACAGCUGGAUCGCCUCCUGCAUAGGCGAGGACAAUGAUCUAUUGAUUUCGAAGCAUGUCGCAAGGGUGAAAUGAGGUGUGAAAGGACUUUGUCCACGGGCGUUUCUGCCCUUCCUGCUCUUGGUGCCAAAACCCUUAACCGGCCCUGCUGGGCACAAGGAGCAGUGAGGCGGUCGGCCUCCAGCCCCAGCCCUGCCACUUGCUGGCUGUCCUCUGCAAGUGUCUCCAGCACUCCAUGCCCAGGGCUGUCAUCUGCCCAUGAGGAUGACACCCAGCGCACCUCCUGUGCCACGGGACUGUGCACUGGAGGAGCGAGCCCCGCGCGAGCUCAGACUGCCUCCGGUGUGCGGACCCCUGGGGGAGAGCUGGGGACCAAGACACUUUCCCUCUGGAAAGCGGAGCAACUCCGGGGGGCGUGUCCGCACGCGCUCCGUGUGGGAGGUGCUUGCUCUGCAUCGCGAGAACGUCGCAGGCGCGGGAACUGGGCCGGCCCUCACGCCUGCCUUUGACUGAGCGUGUGCUCUUACGUCGCGGCUCGGUGCCCUGGCCAAGUCCCUGCGGCAUCAGAGCGCAGGGCUGAGACGCUGCCGCGGCAGGGCGGCACCGGGGCACCUGAGCCGUCAGGAUCUCUUCCCUGCUCCCCAGCCCUCUGUCAAGUGGUGCUUCUUAUCUCCUCCUCACACGGGAAGGCCCAGGGGACAGCGGGAUUUGGACACAGUCACACAGAGGAGGGGGCCAGGUGAGGACAGAGGUGGAGGCCCCUGCAGUGACCCAUCCGCAAACCGAGGGCCACCAAGGAUGGCCAGCAUGUCCGAGCUGGGGGAGGCGGGAUGGGUGCUCCCUCAAGCCCCAGCAGGAGCUUGAGACCAGCCCCAGAGGCCUUGGUGUCAGACGCACGGUAUCCAGAGUUGGGAGCCGAUUUCCACUGCUUAAGUCCCAGUUUGUGAUCAUUUGUUUACCGCAGCCCUGGGAAACUACUUUUUAAACGAAAGUUCUAAUCUGUGAUUGGCCGUAGGCCCCACCACCCCCUAAGGCCUCCUGCCGCCCAGCUUCACUCCCUGCAGCCUGACUCUAGGACAUUCUAAUUGGCAACCCCUGGUUUAGUCAAUACACUUGCGUAAGAUGGAGUUUGAAAGGAAAUACCUUAUAAGAGUAAAUGCCAGGUACAUCAGGUAUCUAAAUAUAGAAAAAGGAAUAAAGAGAAGAAAGCCGGGGCUAAUUCCUUUACAACCGGGGGUGGAGAAAGAUUGUCUGACCAUAACUCAAAAUCCAGAUGUAAUAAAAGAAAAGAUGAACACACUUAAGGACGUUAAAGUUAAAGACUCUUUUUUAUGGUACACACACCAUCAACAGAAUCAAAAGGCAACUGAUGAAUGGGGAAGAGCAUUUUCAAUGUAAAUCUCAGAUAAAGGGAUAAUGUGACUCACAUGGAAAGAAUUAGAAAUGGAGGGAAGUGAGCAGAAACCUGAUUAAAAAACGAGUUGAAAGCUGGGUGUGGUGGUGCACACGGAUAAUCGCAGCAACUUGGGAGGCGGAGGCAGGAGGAUCAGAGUCUGCCGUCAGCCUCAGCGAUUUAGCCAGGCCCUAAGCAACUUAGCGAGACCCUGUCUCAAAGUCAAAAGGUCUGGGUGUACAACUCAGUGAUAAAACACCCCUGUGUUCAAUCCCCAGUACCAAAAAAAGGAGAAAAAAGAGCCAACCAUGAACAGGCAACUUAAAGAUACAGAGCGACAUCCCAUCUAGUUCUCUGACCCUGUCAGAGACCCAAGAUCCUAUUAUCAUUUGAUAAAUGUUUCUGCUGGAACUAGAUGUAGUAAAUUCUGUUGUCUGCAAUUUAUGUGGUGGCGGGGGCUAUUUCCAGAUAUCAGCCCACCUAGAGGCACAAGGACUUCGCAGCCUACAGCACACACCAGCGUUGCUCACACCAGCUUCUAGAGACAGAGACAGCUUUAGAGGAGUUCACUGCAUGCUUUUCCUAGUAUUCAGGGUUUCAUUGUAACAAAAGUAUUAGUUUCUGCAUAGCUACUUGGAAGGAGGGAGAGUGGUGGAUUGGCUGCUCUCUGAUGUGCUUGUCUAAGAAGAAGGCUUCAGCAUUUCGGAGUUACACCUUGCUGCUCAAAAAGCGCAGUAUCUGACUUUGGAAUGUGUUUUGCACUCGCACCUUGAUCUGCGUAUCUCUUGUCUGGAGACUUGACGCAAUAGCAGGGGCUUCACUGGAAGGCAGUGGGGGCAUCUGACUUCCCACCUGCCCCACGGAGCUCUGAUACUCGGUACCUCUCUGAAUCCUUGCAAGCAAGCAGAGGGGGCCGUGUGGUUCAGUCUGGUGCCCCGUUCAGGGUGAGCAGGGCUGUCCUUUGAUACCCUCUCAGCACAGAACAACUUGGAUGCCCAGCACAAGGGGAUUGUCAAAUAGGCCAUGGUUCGCCCAUACAAUGGAUUCCAUGCUGCCCUCCGGACCACCAAGUGGAGUCACUGAUGUAGAAAGACAUCUGGAUACGCAAAGCCACAAGAGUGUUCACAGAUAAGGAGCAGCGUCUUCCUUUCAUAGGGUACCUAGGAUUCUUACCAUUUUUUUUCAUAAAAGUAUGUAUGCAUAAAUAUAUAAUUGUCUAGAACAUUUUAAAAUUGUGACUGAGAAGGUGUUUUUGUGACUUUUUAUAUUACUUUUCAGUGAGGUAUAAUCUCUUUACGAGGAGCAUAUAUUACCUUGUAAACAAACAAAACAGUGAUAAUUUAUAUAGGUUUUUAAAUCUGUAACUUAUUUACUUGAAAAUGCUUGAUACAAGUGGGAGUGGAACCAGCAGAUGACAAGGGAGUGGCCGUGUCACCUUGGGUCCACUGGAGCGUGCACCUGCUGCCCAGCCACACCUGGCCGGGGAGGUGGGAGGACGGCCAGGGGAGGGAGUUGGUCCCCCUGGGCCACACAGCGCCAUCCCGGCUCUAAAACCCAUACUGCCUCUGUGGAAGCUGCCCCAUGCUGGCAGGAAGGGUCACCACACCGAUUCUUACCUUUGGGGCAUGUUUGGAAUUUUCUAUAAUAAAAAGGAAAAAUAGACCCACGCAAGGCAGAGCACAGGAACUGCCUGCUGACCUUCAGAGGACACCUUGGUUGUGGCACAAGAGACAUGGCAUAUGAGGAACCACAAGCACACAGCACAAGUGAGGCUGCGGACCCCGAGGUGGGAACCAGAGCCACUGGCUGGUGGCCUCCGUCAGCAGCUUAUCCUUGCUAAGCCUCUGCUUGCCACCUGUAAAGUAGGCACAUCAUGUGCACUCGAAAUUUGAACGUUCAUGAGGAGAUCGCUGCUGUUAACUAAGCAGACAAGGGGGCUGGAGCAGGGGCGCUAUGCCCCAGCAGCUGUUGUCAACUGCGCGUCAGGAUCACCGGGUCGUCAGUGAGAGUGCAGAUUCCAAGGCACCGUCUGCAGGGAGCGCCACUCCUUCUCUGGGAUCAGCUCAGGAAUCUCCAUUUUAAUAAAGAGCCCAGGCGAUGCUGACUGGGGAAAGAUGGCACCUAGCCCAACCCCAGGCACCCCAGGCUGCUGUGGGCAUGACUGUGUCGCUGGUAGAAACCAGGGCUUGGCAUGCUUGGGGACAUCUGCCCAUUUAUGACUGCAGGUGGACUUUGUCAGCAAUCAUGGGUAAGAAAAACUGGCACCAGUAAGACACCUUUGGAGUCUCCAGUUUGAAGCAGUGGCAA
This is a long non-coding RNA of Sciurus carolinensis (gray squirrel), 5956 nucleotides long. RefSeq lists it as uncharacterized. The transcript has 3 exons. Lineage: Eukaryota; Metazoa; Chordata; Mammalia; Rodentia; Sciuridae. The record is from RefSeq and is a predicted model, not a curated record.